Molecule: transfer RNA, 67 nt
Filed under: Porichthys myriaster (specklefin midshipman)
Lineage: Eukaryota; Metazoa; Chordata; Actinopteri; Batrachoidiformes; Batrachoididae
Description: tRNA-Val
Source: RNAcentral
CAAGACAUAGCUAAAAUAAAGCAUCUCCCUUACACUGAGAAGAUGUCCUAUAACAGGGCUGCCUUGA